This 1377-nucleotide long non-coding RNA is filed under the name Triticum aestivum (bread wheat). RNAcentral describes it as "long non-coding RNA (TAES_LNC013120)". The stretch from base 783 to 869 matches the Rfam family "mir-160 microRNA precursor family". Lineage: Eukaryota; Viridiplantae; Streptophyta; Magnoliopsida; Poales; Poaceae. The record is from RNAcentral.
CUUCGGGUGAAUACCUCUGCCUGGUUGUGCUGGAGCACAGAGGUCUUCGGUCGGGCUGCGGAAAGGUGUUAGGCUUGUUCUAGGUUUACGUUGUAUCUUGUGUUUUGCUUUGUAAGUGUUCGGCCGUCUAUUUUAUUGUAUUUCUUUAUAUAUAUACAAAGUGGGGUGAAUGACUGUUUCAAGAAAUAAAAAUCAGGAAAGACACCCAUGAGAGUCUGAGAUUGCGGUGUGCAGGUCUAGCUAGACUAUAUCUAGUGUGGCAUGCAUUUCUGAAAAGCUACACAUCUCCUUUAGUUCCCCCUAAGGAAGUGUUAUCCCGUUGUCCUUGUGUCCAUGUCCUUUGCUCUUUGCUUUACUCACUUUAUUGCAAGAGAAGCAGCGCGCACGCAGCAGACGGGAGAGCAAGCUAGGCAAGCUAGCAAUGGAGUCGUUGUGGAGAGAGAGAGCAACAUCCCUGCCUCCCCUCCCUCUAUAAAUCCAGCCUCACCUCCUUGCUCCUACCACCAUCCUUCACACUAGUGCACUGUUCUCCACUCACUCAUUCGAUUAACCUAGCUUUCUCUUUCUCUCUCUAGUAGCCGUGGUUGCCUCCUUGUGUUUGCUCCAUGCGCCUUGAGCAUACCCAUCAAGAUCCAGGUUUGUUUCCCCAACUAGUCUGCAAGACACAAAACAUGAAGAGAAACAUAAAACAUAUGAACAUCCCUUUGGUUUUCUUCCUUUGGUCUUGCUUUCUGAUCACCAUUUGGAAGAGUGGUUUGACGAUCGAUCUAGUCAAGAUUGUGCUGUGCCUGGCUCCCUGUAUGCCACACAUGUAGCCCAACCCAUGGAUGUGGUUGCCUGCUGGGUGGCGUGCAAGGGGCCAAGCAUGCAUAUAUGUAUAUAUCUGGCCUUUUAUUUGAUUAUUUCAUUUUUUUUCCUUGAAUUAUUUGAUGUUUCUCCAUUUUUAUCACUGUUUGCAUUUUUAUCCAAUAUGCAUCUCACUCGUCAAUAUCUGGAUUUGCAGGUCCGUGGAAUGUGUUUUAUUCAUCUUCACACCUUCUCCUCUCUUCGAAGAAACCAGGGACGAUAUUAUGCAACUCUAUGAACAUAUGUUGUUUAUUUGGGGAUCACAUUUAGCACAUUACUCAUGUGUGAAAUGUUACCAUCUUUUUUUGCCACUUCUUGAUGCAAAUGCGAUGAUUUAUUAAGAGCUAAUAUCACCAGAAGUCAUAGAACUUGCGUUCGAUGUUCAGUUUAGUGCUAAAACUUUAAAAAUAUAGAAUUAUGGUCACUCAACUUGUCUCUGCGUGCAAAUACGGUCACUUCGUCCAUAUUUAAAUGUAUAUUGAUCUUACAUGGCAUGCCAACGAUGCUAUUCUUUUUACUGAUACACCCUCG